This 6331-nucleotide long non-coding RNA is filed under the name Pelobates cultripes (western spadefoot toad). Lineage: Eukaryota; Metazoa; Chordata; Amphibia; Anura; Pelobatidae. The record is from RNAcentral.
UGAAAGGAUUAUGCAAAUUUAAAAAUGAAUGCUGUGUAUCAUCUGCAUAUUUCAAUUGGAACUUUGGGAAAAGGCUCUUGGCACAAUAAUUCUGAGAAAUGUUUCACCAAUUACCCAGAAUUCCCAGCUCGACAUGCAAGUCAACACAGACUUGGAUCCAGUUCAGACUUCAUCCUGCAUUUCUUCAAGCACCCUUAGUAAGGGAGCACUAGAUCACAACCCAUGAUUUGGUUUUAAAGGAUUUAUCUCCAGGGAAUAGUUAAAGAAACAACUGACUUUAUUUAGGGAAAGUUGAUUUUAAUUCAUACUGAUACCAGGCAAAGGCAAAAUACAUGUAUAGGAUUUUCAUCUGGUUAUUAAAUCUGUACAAUCAUGUACUACUACAGUAAAAUGUAUGCUCACUAAUGCAAUUGUUUUAUUGACCAUUUUAAAAAAUGAUUUAUUAGAUCAUAAAAGAUAAAUACACGUUCUGACAUUAUUUGCAUUGAUUUUAGCUUUCAACAAAACAAAUAGUUCAGAAACAGUGUGUAUAAUUUAGAAACCCCAGGUUAUUCCGCAGUGCUCUACAUCAUUAUAAAAGGGGCAUAUUUAACAAUAAAUGAGACAAUUACACAAUGUUACAGGAACACUACUAGGUUACUGCUUGUUUUCGCAGGGUCCUAUUUCAACUUAAUUAGGUGAAACUACUCUUAAUAUUAUACAUAGCUAUCUAAGAAAAAUAAAAAAUAAAAAAAAUGUUUUUUAGUGGAUUGCAGUUUGUUUUCCAGCCGUUAUAUUUAAAGGUGGCGCUGUUUCUACAGACAAGGUUUAUAAUGGCUUUGCUGUCUCCAUAAAAACAUUUAUCAAUCACUUGUACAAAUAAGAAGUAAGGCACCCAGAACCACUGUAAAUAAAUGUUGUGGCUUUAUUAACGUAAGAAUAAAACAACUCUGCUUAAAGUAGCCUUAUUUACGCAACAGAAAAAUAUCUACAGCUGUUGAUGUGACACUUCUUAUUUACCCAAACAAUUAAUUGAGAUUCCUAACCUUAGUAGCAAUGGGAACUCUCAAUAUUGCUCUGUUGCCAGUACCUUUGCCAGACUGUAAGGAUCAGCCCAGUAGUAAUUCUCAUGAUAUGUGAAGUGUUAUCUUGAAAACCCGGUGUGCAGCGGUCCAUAGAGGUCUGGAAUGGAGCUCAGCAGAAGUGCACCUUACAGUCAAGGUACAUAUUAAUGAUCUGUCUAUAUCUAUGGAUUAUGCCAUUGCCUGUCCACACACAUAUACACUCUUGCUUUCUCCCUGUCUAAUCAUGUAUACAGAGGAACAGAAGAUGCUGUUACCUGUACACAACAGAUCCCAUUCCUUUCCCAGCUCAGUCCUCAUCAUGAAUCAGUAUCCCUGUCUGGGUAGACUUUGCUCUGCAGGGCACACUAUGCCCAAAGAUACAUUCCAAAUUGUAGAUCUUUUAUGUUCUGUUCUUCCAUCGAUCUCUUUAUCAGACUCUCCUCCAGUUUCUUCUGUUAUAAACCAGUAUCUGGAUUUCCUCCUGCACUUGGGGCUCUCUUCAUAGUAUGUUGUAUAUCCUACUUUAUCACAUGUGUUUUAUCCCAUUUAACUAUUGUACAAUGUAUCCUGUUUUCCUCUGCAUGUCUUCUCUUUAGUAUUCCAACUGCUUUUCUCUUCCUGUUUUUACAUGACCCCUCUCUCUGUCUUGUCCAAACCGUCUCCUUCCUAUUCAUGACUAUUUUGCUACCUUCUCUGGCUCUGUGAGUGCUCUCUGCUGAUUGCAAAGAGUCUGCUCUCCCCCCCCCCCCUUCUCUCUCUCACUUUUUUGGGUGGCGGUGGGGGUGGGGGAGGUGAUAUAUGUGGGGGUGUAAAAUGAAGGGUCUGAGGGGAAAAAAAAUUCAAAGAAAGUCACCAAUGAAAAGGUAAAAAUGUAGUAAUGCAAGAAAGCCUGUUAAAUGGAACACUGAGGGAUAGACAAAAAUAAAUCGAGAAAUGUAUGACAGAAAAAGAAACAAGAGAAUGUCAUUAUCAGGAUAAAAGAUUCAUAUAUUAUCAAAAGAAGCAAAUAAUUCAUCCUGAGAAUCCUGCAGAUUAACAUAUGAUCAACACAUGUUCAAAUCAUAAAAACAAGGCAUACUCUAUGUAGCAUUUAAGAGAACAUCAGUUUCUGGGAAAUGACUAAUCUUUGACACUGCAAUUCUUGUGAUCAGUGAACGUGCAUCAUAGGAAACAUAGUCCACAACAACUGCAGUGCCACUGACUGUUGGUGGGUGUUUUUUUUCUGUAAAGUACAAAUCAUAUUAUUCUCAGCAGCUGCAAUACCAUAAAUUGCCUAUCUCUAAUUAUCUGAGCCCACAUUUUCUAUGCAGAUGUGUUAAUGAGUAUGUUGAGCCUUUUAUGGUCAGACAUCAUCUGCAAUGCACAUCUCUUUUGAAAUGGAAAUGACUAAGCAGCAUACUCUUGCACUGUAUCUAUAUGUCUUAACUCUCCUUUGUAGAACAAACCUGAUGGUUGUUACCACUUUUACCAAUGUGAAUGUAUGUUCUUAAAUGUCUGUGCGUAAAAUAACCUUACAGAAAGGCAACACAUACAGAGUUACUCACUAAACACAGAAUAUUAGCUAAUUAAACUCAAAUUUGCUAAAUGUAGGCUAAAAUAGACAAAUAGUGACCAUAGGCAAGUUGGAGACGUUUUCCAAAAGACUUACUUUAGCCUCAAUUUUGCAAUCGGGGGUUAAUAUGCUAAAAUGUGGGGUUUAGUGAAUAAACGCCUCUAGUGCCUUUGAAUACAAGGAUAAUAACACGGAGAUUACAUCUACAAGCAAGGAGGGGCCCUCUGGAAAAUUCCCCAGUAGGGUGAAAUGAAGCCAGUGGAUGGGAGGGAGCUAACAAUAUUUGCUCUGUCUACAAGCAGCUUGUUAUGUAUCUGCUUACAGCCAUUUACAGGGAGGGGUGGCAAUAGCUACCAGCAUGUCAUCUUAAUCCUGACAACACAGCCGCACUGCAAUCCCUGGCGAGAAUUUAUUAUACAACCAAUGCAUUUUUUUAUUUGACAUUGUUUCGAUAUUGUCUCUGGUGCAAUAACAUAUAAUCUACGGUGCUGUUCUGUGAAUAAGCAUACACACGUUUAGUGACAAAAGAAAUUAUGUUUACUGUUGUUUCUGUUCAAAGUAAGUCGUUUAUCAUAUACAUAUCCUUUAUUUGAAAUCUGCAUUGUGCAGCACGGCAGAAUAUGUUGCAAACUUACAAAUAAUAAAAAAAAGGUAAAAGUGCAGUAGGUUGAGGUGGUCCAAUCAUGAUCACAUUGUCUGGAAGGAAAGAUUGAUUACCACAUUCUUUAUAAACCAUCUGCGUACUCUGUUGGCACUGUAUAAAUGAUAAUAUUGUACUGGAAGCAUCUUCUAAUCAAGAUUCCAUAGCAUUUGGAUAAUUGAUCCUAGAAUGUGCAAUACAAGGAGCUUGCUCAGGCACAGACAUCUUGCAAUCCAGUACCAGGUAUUCAUUAACUCUCUGAGUGCAUGAGGUGUACCCAAAUGCAUUACCUUUCAAGUGUUAGGAACACCUCUGGCACUCAAAGGUUCAAACAGUGGGAGGGAACAGGUUGCAACUAUUAGUCUUGUGUGUUCAUGUACUUUCCCUAUGAACCUGUAAAAUCAGUAUAUCCUUUUAAAGGGGAGCUAAUAGCAAUAGAGAAUUGACAGAGCACUCUGUAGGUUCCCAAACAUGGCCCUCUCCAGGCUCAUGGUACACUAAGCUGGGGAUCCCAUUAAGUAUCCCAAUAUUAUUAUUUUUUUUAUUAUUAUUAUUGCCAUUUAUAUAGCACCAACAUAUAGCAGCAAACCAAAUAGAAGCUGGACAACACGAUCUGAAUGUGGUGUCUUUCCACAAUAAAAUAUCCUCCAUAGACAGAUCAUGCUGCCCUGCUUAUUUUUGCUAUACCUAAAGGGGAACUGAUUCUUACACUGAUUUCUAAUAUUAUGGUUAUUUAUCCACCAUAAUUAUAAUUCAAUUAUUAAUUCGCUAACAUAUAUUUUUUAGGUGUGAAAAAUAAAAUGAAACGAAGAAAGUCUCACACAUCUUAAUCCUCCAACUAAGCGCCAUCAUAGUUCCCUGCCAGUCAUUGCUGUAACCUCUGUCUUUUGUACCAAGCAACCAGCAUACAGAAAGCAUACAAAGAAGAAGAAAAGAAAGAAAAUAGUGUUUCUAUUUCUACAAUGUAUCUGGCUGUGCCUGGACUGAACUGUAUUAAUUAUGUAAUUCACUAAAACUUUAAGUUAAAUAUAAAAGAAAACAGAGCAACAGACAAAAAAAGUUAAAGGAGUACCCCACACCCAGUAAAAAUUUAAGUACAGUUUUUAUGGGGGCAGGAGUGUCUGAGUAUCGUAGAACCUUCACUGUUUAAACCAGGGGUGCCCAAAAGUUAGAUCCUCCAUGAUGCUUUUCAUGCCUUUACAAUGCUUUUAGAAUGACACAGCAUCAUGUUAGGCACCCAUGGUUUAAACCAUGCUCCAAAGGUUUGACCCAAAGUUGAUCCUCUAGCAUCUGACUUCUCUAUUGUCCUUCCUCCCAGCCGCUACACACUCCAGGAAGGUUUGUAAUAGGAUGAGUGAGUCAGCUGACUCUGUUAGCCUAUUACGGACCACUAACUGAAAAUAGGUUGCACUACUACUCUGAAUAGAUGGCCAUUGACAUGAAAUUCUCAAAAGUUAUAGGUGAUUUUCAAUGUUGUAUUCAAUGGUGUAAGUUUCAAAUAUUUGAUGGUUCCCCUUUAAAUCAGUUGCAUACUCUAAAAUAAAAAACAAAAAACAAGUGUUUUCCCCCUUUUUUUUAUUUACUAUGAUCAAAUAAGUGUACUUACUGAUGACCAGAUGAAAUUUUUUUUAUAUGCUUAAAAGACAGUUUUUAGAACAGUCCUAUUUAUUAAAUAAAAUUUAAUUAAAAAAAUAUUAAAUAAAUAAAGGCAUGUUAAGAUAAUUUACAAAACAGAACAGUGUUAAAAAAAAAAAAGAUUAUUAAUAUUACUGAUGGUCCGAGUCUAUUAAAAUGCUGUAAUUUGUAUGUGUUAUAUUUACUUUAGCUAUGUCUGUGAAUAGGAUUAUGUGGUGGGCAUUAAACAGCCCAGUCCCUUAUAAACACAGUCCCAGGGCCAUCGAAAGGACUAUUGAGGUCCCGAGCGCGCAGCCCAAGUACCCCACCGACCACAAGAGAGACCCCAGACCCCAGGCACCUUACCAGGGAAUAUAGCGGAACAAACCACCCAGGAAUCCUUUCUGAUGAGCAGGCUCAAAUCCACAACUAUCUGGAACAGCACAUAAAGGGUCAUCUGUUCAUGGGCUUGAACAAGCCACAGCAUACAACAGCUUUACCUUCUACAGGAUUUGCCUCAGCUGUAACAUUGGUGAGAUCCAUCUAAAUAUCAUGUAUACAUGAUACUUACCUCUGGCUCUUUUUUUAGUGUGUACACACUAGACUGUAAAUAUAAAUUUUUUUUUUCUUUUUUUCAUCAUUUUUUCAUUUCUCUUUUUCCAUUUUUUUCUUUUUUUCUGCAAUUGUUAUAUUUUUCAUUUUUUGCCAGAUAGAAACCUGGUUUUGAACAUACAGAGGGCUCUCAGCUAUACAGUGCGGUUAUGCACUAUCACUUCUGACAAAGUCGGACUCAAAUAGGGGUUGAUUUGUCAUGUUUGGUGUAUCACUAAUAAUUUCACUGGUUGUGAUAGAAUAGGUGUAACAAUUAAGCAUUUUACAUUGCCUUGAUUGUAUAUAUCAUAUUGCUUUAAAUAUUAUAAUCUAUAUUUGAUAGGCAAUUAAUUAAAAAUCAAGUUUUCUUCUAACAAACUAUUUUGAGUGCGGUAUCAUAUGUUUUUGUAUAUAUAUUGAAGGUAUUAAGCGUGGGCUACCUUGCUAUCUAGCACCAAUACAGAUGCCUGUACAUAUCAUUUUUUUUUUGUUAAAUAAAUAAAGGCAUGUAAAGAUCAUUUACAAAACAGAACAGUGUUAAAAAAAAUGAUUAUUAAUAUUACUGAUGGUCCUGGUCUAUUAAAAUCCUGUCAUUUUUAUGUGUUAUAUUUACUUUAGCUAUGUGAAUAGGAUUAUGUGGUGGGCAUUAAACAGCCCAGUCCCUUAUAAACACAGUCCCAGGAAAUUUUAGACGAAAUGAUAAAUUAUAUUGCAAUGUAUGGCACUUAUGUUAAUUCCUCUGCACGUCUGUGUUUAUAUCUAUAGUUCUGAGACAUCUCCCGAUGUGUUCAGGUGUAAGUUGAACUAUGUGGUGGGUGUUUAAAAGACAAGGUUUCAUUUGACAUGGAAAAUAAAAUAACGUUGGAUUCCUCAUCAUUUUAUGAAACAGAG